UACGUAGGGUGCAAGCGUUAAUCGGAAUUACUGGGCGUAAAGCGUGCGCAGGCGGUUCUAUAAGACAGAUGUGAAAUCCCCGGGCUCAACCUGGGAACUGCAUUUGUGACUGUAGAGCUGGAGUACGGCAGAGGGGGAUGGAAUUCCGCGUGUAGCAGUGAAAUGCGUAGAUAUGCGGAGGAACACCGGUGGCGAAGGCAGCCCCCUGGGCUUAAAUUGACGCUGAGGCACGAAAGCGUGGGGAGCAAACAGG
This 253-nucleotide ribosomal RNA is filed under the name uncultured bacterium. RNAcentral describes it as "partial 16S ribosomal RNA". It matches the Rfam family "Bacterial small subunit ribosomal RNA", at positions 524 to 776 of the family's 1533-position model. The record is from RNAcentral.